RNAcentral lists this ribosomal RNA (468 nucleotides) under uncultured bacterium. RNAcentral's name for it is "partial 16S ribosomal RNA". It matches the Rfam family "Bacterial small subunit ribosomal RNA", at positions 28 to 507 of the family's 1533-position model. The record is from RNAcentral.
GACGAACGCUGGCGGCGUGCUUAACACAUGCAAGUCGAACGGAAAGGCCCUGCUUGUGCCUGGUGUCCGAGUGGCGAACGGGUGAGUAACACGUGAGUAUCCUGCCCUGGACGGUGGGAUAACUUCAGGCGACUGGGGCUACUACCGGAGAGGAGCGCGUGCUGCAGGGGGGGGGUUGGACAGUUUCGGCUGUUGGGGAUGGAUUCGCGGCUAAUCAGCUGGUGGGUGGGGUAGUGGCCUAGCGAGCCAUUGGCGGCUGGCCGGCCCGGGAGGGUGGCCGCCCACCUUGGGCCUACGAUACGCCCCAGACUCCUACGGUGGGCAGUGGUGGGGAAUAUUACACAAUGGGCGCAAGCGUGAGGAAGACACGCUGCGAGUGUGAAGAACGCCUACGGGUUGUGAACCGCUUUAGCCUGUGACCAAGCGUGUGUGACGUUAAUGAGUAAAGAAGCACCGGCUAACUACGUG